CACGAGGUUUCCGGAGGUGCACCUGCGAAAGUCUCAUUA
RNAcentral lists this ribosomal RNA (39 nucleotides) under Pilobolus sphaerosporus. Its description in RNAcentral is "partial 18S ribosomal RNA". The record is from RNAcentral. Lineage: Eukaryota; Fungi; Mucoromycota; Mucoromycetes; Mucorales; Pilobolaceae.